GUUUUGGCUUAGUAAAAACAACAUUUUUCUCAUUUUUCAUUAGAAUAUAGAGUAAAUAAUUUAAUAUUUUAUCUUUUGUUAAUCUGUUUCGUGCGUAAUCAAAGAAGGUUGAAAGGUUUCAGUACUUUUAAGUCUGUUCAAGGAAAAAACCGUGGGUAUUGGGAAGUCGAGGAAGACAUCCAGUAAAGGCUGCAGAAAGCCAAGAAACUCGAGUAACCCGAAAGGCAGGAACUGGACCAAUGGUUGUGAAUGACGAGGGCAAGGACAUCAAUCCUCAUAUCCCAUAGUACAUCCCCAUAUCGUACUAUUGCUCAGCUGGUCUACGCUCAGUCACAUAUCAGCUCCCGUAGAAGGAAAAAGAGACACUGUACACAUAGAUCGAUGGUACAAUAGGGGACAGCAAAGUGGUCACAAAGUACCGAAAGAGAGUAACUGACUCAUUAAAAGGAUUGUAUGGUGCAUCCGAAGAAGAACUGAGGAAAGUUCAUUGUAGCCAAAAUUGCUCACUAUUACUUCAUUGAUUACGAUGGGAAGCAUGACAGAUGGAAUUGAUACAAUCCAGCGUAUAGCACAGAGAAAUUGAGAAAGUAUCAGGAGAUGAAGACUGCCUAUGAAGCCCUGAAAGCAGCCAAGCUCAAAGACAAUCUCGAUGCUGAGCUAGAUGAUGCGGAGGAUGAGGGCAGAUUAUAUAUAUUUUAUGAUGUGGUUAUGCCAGGCUCUAAAAUGGACACCAUAAGGAGAGAAUAACAGAGUCCGAACUAAUGUAAAAGAUUUUUUUAGCCUACUACGAUACCACAAAAUAUAUAAAAUAAAGAAUAUUUCUUUUAA
This is a long non-coding RNA of Phlebotomus papatasi, 828 nucleotides long. RefSeq lists it as uncharacterized. The record is from RefSeq and is a predicted model, not a curated record. The transcript is spliced from 2 exons. NCBI's taxonomy places the organism in Eukaryota, Metazoa, Arthropoda, Insecta, Diptera, Psychodidae.